UGCCAGCCGCCGCGGUAAUACGGAGGGUGCAAACGUUGCUCGGAAUUAUUGGGCGUAAAGCGCGCGUAGGCGGUUACACAAGUUGGGUGUGAAAGCCCUGGGCUCAACCCAGGAAGUGCACUCAAAACUGUGUGACUUGAGUCUCGGAGGGGGUCGGAGAAUUCCCGGUGUAGAGGUGAAAUUCGUAGAUAUCGGGAGGAAUACCAGUGGCGAAGGCGCCGACCUGGACGAUGACUGACGCUGAGGUGCGAAAGCGUGGGGAGCAAACAGGAUUAGAUA
This 279-nucleotide ribosomal RNA is filed under the name uncultured bacterium. Its description in RNAcentral is "partial 16S ribosomal RNA". It matches the Rfam family "Bacterial small subunit ribosomal RNA", at positions 506 to 784 of the family's 1533-position model. The record is from RNAcentral.